RNAcentral lists this ribosomal RNA (406 nucleotides) under uncultured bacterium. Its description in RNAcentral is "partial 16S ribosomal RNA". It matches the Rfam family "Bacterial small subunit ribosomal RNA", at positions 30 to 526 of the family's 1533-position model. The record is from RNAcentral.
AUUGAACGCUGGCGGCAGGCCUAACACAUGCAAGUCGAACGAGUGGCGGACGGGUGAGUAAUGUAUGGGAAACUGCCCGAUAGAGGGGGAUAACUACUGGAAACGGUGGCUAAUACCGCAUACUAUCGGAUGAACCCAUAUGGGAUUAGCUAGUAGGUGGGGUAAAGGCUCACCUAGGCGACGAUCCCUCGCUGGUCUGAGAGGAUGACCAGCCACACUGGGACUGAGACACGGCCCAGACUCCUACGGGAGGCAGCAGUGGGGAAUAUUGCACAAUGGGCGCAAGCCUGAUGCAGCCAUGCCGCGUGUAUGAAGAAGGCCUUCGGGUUGUAAAGUACUUUCAGCGGGGAGGCGUUACCCGCAGAAGAAGCACCGGCUAACUCCGUGCCAGCAGCCGCGGUAAUUC